RNAcentral lists this ribosomal RNA (443 nucleotides) under uncultured bacterium. Its description in RNAcentral is "partial 16S ribosomal RNA". It matches the Rfam family "Bacterial small subunit ribosomal RNA", at positions 338 to 795 of the family's 1533-position model. The record is from RNAcentral.
CCUACGGGAGGCAGCAGUGGGGAAUAUUGGGCAAUGGGCGCAAGCCUGACCCAGCAACGCCGCGUGAAGGAAGAAGGCUUUCGGGUUGUAAACUUCUUUUCUCAGGGACGAAGAAAGUGACGGUACCUGAGGAAUAAGCCACGGCUAACUACGUGCCAGCAGCCGCGGUAAUACGUAGGUGGCAAGCGUUAUCCGGAUUUAUUGGGUGUAAAGGGCGUGUAGGCGGGAGCGCAAGUCAGAUGUGAAAACUCAGGGCUCAACCCUGAGCCUGCAUUUGAAACUGUGGUUCUUGAGUGCUGGAGAGGCAAUCGGAAUGCCGUGUGUAGCGGUGAAAUGCGUAGAUAUACGGAGGAACACCAGUGGCGAAGGCGGAUUGCUGGACAGCAACUGACGCUGAGGCGCGAAAGCGUGGGGAGCAAACAGGAUUAGAUACCCGAGUAGUC